RNAcentral lists this ribosomal RNA (497 nucleotides) under uncultured bacterium. RNAcentral describes it as "partial 16S ribosomal RNA". It matches the Rfam family "Bacterial small subunit ribosomal RNA", at positions 28 to 507 of the family's 1533-position model. The record is from RNAcentral.
GAUGAACGCUGGCGGCGUGCCUAAUACAUGCAAGUCGAGCGAACAGACGAGGAGCUUGCUCCUUUGACGUUAGCGGCGGACGGGUGAGUAACACGUGGGUAACCUACCUAUAAGACUGGGAUAACUUCGGGAAACCGGAGCUAAUACCGGAUAAUAUUUCGAACCGCAUGGUUCGAUAGUGAAAGAUGGCUCUGCUAUCACUUAUAGAUGGACCUGCGCCGUAUUAGCUAGUUGGUAAGGUAACGGCUUACCAAGGCAACGAUACGUAGCCGACCUGAGAGGGUGAUCGGCCACACUGGAACUGAGACACGGUCCAUACUCCUACGGGAGGCAGCAGUAGGGAAUCUUCCGCAAUGGGCGAAAGCCUGGCGGAACAACGCCGCGUGAGUGAUGAAGGUCUUCGGAUCGUAAAACUCUGUUAUUAGGGAAGAACAAACGUGUAAGUAACUGUGCACGUCUUGACGGUACCUAAUCAGAAAGCCACGGCUAACUACGUG